Molecule: long non-coding RNA, 610 nt
Organism: Orbicella faveolata
Lineage: Eukaryota; Metazoa; Cnidaria; Anthozoa; Scleractinia; Merulinidae
Source: RefSeq, a predicted model, not a curated record
CAUUGCCUUUCAGGCAUGUAGAGGAGAUUACUCUUGUGCAGAAUAUACUUGCAAUUGACUCAAUGAUUACUUUGUCAAUUUUAUUUAUCUUUCAGGAGGAUAAGAUUCAAGAGAAGACUAAAGAAAAGAAAACUGUGUCUGAUUCUGAAAACAAAUCUAGCUGGGUGAACUCCAUUCUUCUACCAGCAGCAGCUGUCGCAGUUGUGGUCGCCAUUGCUGGUUACAAGUACUUCCAUGCUAAUAAUUAAGAACAAUCUACCACGUGUUAGCCACAUCACUGGAAUUUUACAAGCAGCUCUGAUCAUUAUGUUGUUAUAGUAUAUAAAAGUUCUUUAGAAUCUCUUAACCAGUGUCUGUCCGUAGAGUGGAUUGAGUCCCAACUUGGUAUUACCAGCAGAGGGAAAAAAUCAAAAAUUAAAAACAUUUUCAUUUUAAUUUUUUCCUGGCGAAAUGUUCAUGUUUUGGUUUAGUACUUGUUCUUGAAAAGUGAUCACCCACUGUGAUUUCUGAGGCAUAAUUCACCGAAAAACCCAUCGAGUUUGUGUUGAGAAGAGUAAGAACGAGCCUAAGCUGAACUGUGACUCCGUAAUAAAUUUCCUUUUCACUUGUA